GUGGGGAAUAUUGCGCAAUGGGGGAAACCCUGACGCAGCGACGCCGCGUGAGCGAAGAAGGCCUUAGGGUUGUAAAGCUCUGUUUUAAGGGACGAAUGUCGUGGGGAGUAAUAUGCUCUGCGAAUGACGGUACCUUAAGAGGAAGCCCCGGCUAACUACGUGCCAGCAGCCGCGGUAAGACGUAGGGGGCGAGCGUUGUCCGGAAUUACUGGGCGUAAAGAGCACGUAGGCGGGAACUUAAGUCAGGUGUGAAAGACCGGGGCUCAACUCCGGGGGUGCACUUGAAACUGGGUUUCUUGAGGGCAGGAGAGGAAAGCAGAAUUCCUGGUGUAGCGGUGAAAUGCGUAGAAAUCAGGAGGAAUACCAGUGGCGAAGGCGGGUUCCUGGCCCAUGACUGACGCUGAGGUGCGAAAGCCGGGGGAGCGAACGGGAUUAGAUACCCUAGUAGUCC
This 451-nucleotide ribosomal RNA is filed under the name uncultured bacterium. RNAcentral's name for it is "partial 16S ribosomal RNA". It matches the Rfam family "Bacterial small subunit ribosomal RNA", at positions 354 to 796 of the family's 1533-position model. The record is from RNAcentral.